UUUUUUAAUUGGGGUAGCCCCCAAAAUAUUGGGACAUAUAAAAAAAAAAAAAAAGAAUAGGUGCACAACAAUGGCUGGGUGAGGCCGGUAUAAAUGUCUAUUCUGCACAAGGUACAGACAAGUCUGGUGGGAUCCACGCCUGGUUCAUUUUAAUAAACAUGAGCUUGUCCACGUUGGACAGGCGGCUGUGCUUGUCUGUGAUAACUUCAUGCCGAUCGCAGGUCCCCAUGACGGCAACGACACAUUCGGAUGUCUGCCCUAACAACUUUCCAUGCAAUUUUCCGCGCCUACCAUGGUGACCAUGGGUAACGGGGAAUCAGGGUUCAAUUCCAGCGAAGGAGCCUGAGAAACGGCUACCACAUGCAAGGAAGACAGCAGGCGCGCAAAUUACCCACUCCCGACACGGGGACGUAGUGACGACAAAUACACUACUCUUUCGAGGCCCUGCAAUUGUAAUGAGUCCACUUUAAAUCCUUUAACUUGGAUCAAUUGGAGGGAAAGCCUGGUGCAGAGCAACUUACCCGUGCAUGCUGCAGCUGAAACUCCACUA
Pelobates cultripes (western spadefoot toad) is the source of this 550-nucleotide non-coding RNA. Lineage: Eukaryota; Metazoa; Chordata; Amphibia; Anura; Pelobatidae. The record is from the annotation of a GenBank genome assembly.